This 498-nucleotide ribosomal RNA is filed under the name uncultured bacterium. Its description in RNAcentral is "partial 16S ribosomal RNA". It matches the Rfam family "Bacterial small subunit ribosomal RNA", at positions 899 to 1397 of the family's 1533-position model. The record is from RNAcentral.
ACUCAAAUGAAUAGACGGGGACCCGCACAAGCGGUGGAUGAUGUGGUUUAAUUCGAUGCAACGCGAAAAACCUUACCUACCCUUGACAUGUCUGGAAUCUUUUAGAGAUAGAAGAGUGCCCGAAAGGGAGCCAGAACACAGGUGCUGCAUGGCUGUCGUCAGCUCGUGUCGUGAGAUGUUGGGUUAAGUCCCGCAACGAGCGCAACCCUUGUCAUUAGUUGCUACAUUCAGUUGGGCACUCUAAUGAGACUGCCGGUGACAAACCGGAGGAAGGUGGGGAUGACGUCAAGUCCUCAUGGCCCUUAUGGGUAGGGCUACACACGUCAUACAAUGGCCGGUACAAAGGGUUGCCAACCCGCGAGGGGGAGCUAAUCCCAUAAAACCGGUCGUAGUCCGGAUCGUAGUCUGCAACUCGACUGCGUGAAGUCGGAAUCGCUAGUAAUCGUGGAUCAGCAUGUCACGGUGAAUACGUUCCCGGGUCUUGUACACACCGCCCGU